UCAAAUAAUGGAAACCGCGCCCCGUGUUCAAUUUUUUCACUAUAAAAAUCCUGAAUGCACUCACUUGAACUUGGAUUCUCAUUCUGUGUUAAUAUAGGGCCAAGUGCUUGAAACAAAUCAUUUUCUACCAUUCUCUUGCUCCCAUCCAACAAAUAUUCUGCACCUUGUCCAUCCAAAGAAUGAUUAUUGAUCACAUGGUUCACAUCAUAUUUAGAAGAUGCCAUCAAAUCAGACGAACCUAUUUGAAGCCCAUCUCCAAUAUGCUCUGUGCAAGAUAUGAUUUUCUGUGGUGGUCUGCUGGCAUCUGCAAUAAAAUUGGGAUGUGG
This 326-nucleotide unclassified non-coding RNA is filed under the name Hevea brasiliensis (rubber tree). The record is from RNAcentral. Lineage: Eukaryota; Viridiplantae; Streptophyta; Magnoliopsida; Malpighiales; Euphorbiaceae.